RNAcentral lists this ribosomal RNA (450 nucleotides) under uncultured bacterium. RNAcentral's name for it is "partial 16S ribosomal RNA". It matches the Rfam family "Bacterial small subunit ribosomal RNA", at positions 354 to 796 of the family's 1533-position model. The record is from RNAcentral.
GUGGGGAAUCUUCCGCAAUGGACGAAAGUCUGACGGAGCAACGCCGCGUGAGUGAUGAAGGUCUUCGGAUUGUAAAGCUCUGUUAAUCGGGACGAAAGAGCCUAGUGUGAAUAAUGCUAGGAAGUGACGGUACCGGAAUAGAAAGCCACGGCUAACUACGUGCCAGCAGCCGCGGUAAUACGUAGGUGGCAAGCGUUGUCCGGAAUUAUUGGGCGUAAAGCGCACGCAGGCGGAUCUGCCAGUCUGUCUUAAAAGUUCGGGGCUUAACCCCGUGAUGGGAUGGAAACUACAGAGCUAGAGUAUCGGAGAGGAAAGUGGAAUUCCUAGUGUAGCGGUGAAAUGCGUAGAUAUUAGGAAGAACACCAGUGGCGAAGGCGACUUUCUGGACGAAAACUGACGCUGAGGCGCGAAAGCCAGGGGAGCGAACGGGAUUAGAAACCCUGGUAGUCC